CCUACGGGAGGCAGCAGUGGGGGAUAUUGCACAAUGGGGGGAACCCUGAUGCAGCGACGCCGCGUGGGUGAAGGAGUGCUUCGGCAUGUAAAGCCCUAUCGGCAGGGAAGAAGCAAGACGGUACCCGACUAAGAAGCCCCGGCUAACUACGUGCCAGCAGCCGCGGUAAUAAGUAGGGGGCGAGCGUUAUCCGGAUUCACUGGGUGUAAAGGGAGCGUAGACGGCCAAGCAAGCCAGGGGUGAAAGCCCGGGGCCCAACCCCGGGACUGCCCUUGGAACUGCAUGGCUGGAGUGCGGGAGGGGCAGGCGGAAUUCCUGGUGUAGCGGUGAAAUGCGUAGAUAUCAGGAGGAACACCGGCGGCGAAGGCGACCUGCUGGACCGCGACUGACGUUGAGGCUCGAAAGCGUGGGGAGCGAACAGGAUUAGAUACCCCAGUAGUC
This 441-nucleotide ribosomal RNA is filed under the name uncultured bacterium. RNAcentral describes it as "partial 16S ribosomal RNA". It matches the Rfam family "Bacterial small subunit ribosomal RNA", at positions 338 to 795 of the family's 1533-position model. The record is from RNAcentral.